GGACAGAUGGCCGAGCGGUUGAAGGCAGCGGUCUUGAAAACCGCCAAGGGUGAAAGCCCUUCGUGGGUUCGAAUCCCACUCUGUCCGCCA
RNAcentral lists this transfer RNA (90 nucleotides) under Rickettsiales bacterium. RNAcentral's name for it is "tRNA-Ser". It matches the Rfam family "tRNA". From Rfam's summary of the family: Transfer RNA (tRNA) molecules are approximately 80 nucleotides in length. Their secondary structure includes four short double-helical elements and three loops (D, anti-codon, and T loops). Lineage: Bacteria; Pseudomonadati; Pseudomonadota; Alphaproteobacteria; Rickettsiales. The record is from RNAcentral.